This 466-nucleotide ribosomal RNA is filed under the name Candidatus Taylorbacteria bacterium RIFCSPHIGHO2_01_FULL_43_47. Its description in RNAcentral is "bacterial SSU rRNA". It matches the Rfam family "Bacterial small subunit ribosomal RNA", at positions 1 to 320 of the family's 1533-position model. Lineage: Bacteria; Candidatus Tayloriibacteriota. The record is from RNAcentral.
AUUUAUUUAAGAGUUUGAUCCUAGCUCAGGAUGAACGCUGGCGGCGUGGAUAAGGCAUGCAAGUCAAGGGGUCCAGCACCACUUUUGUCGGAAUGGGAUAUAUUUCCAUUAUUGCAAAAGUGGUGCUGGAAACCGGCAGACGAGGUAGUAAAAAGUAGGAACGCACCUUGAAGUCGGGCAUAGCUCGUCGAAAGACGGGGUAAUUCUCGAUAGUUCCGCACACUAACUUUGUCAUUGUAUCUUUCAGUUGUCUCACAACUAUCAAGUUUUCGACAACGGAAGAAUUAGGCAUCAGACAUGUUCUGAUACUUAUGAUACAAGACAACGAUGAUAAAGUUAGUGUGCGGAUAAAGUCGUAAGACGCUUCUUGAGCGGCCUGCUCGGUAUCAGCUAGUUGGUAGGGUAAAAGCCUACCAAGGCUAUGACGCCUAGGGGAGGUGAGAGCCUGACCCCCACCGAUGGAACU